Molecule: ribosomal RNA, 463 nt
Filed under: uncultured bacterium
Lineage: Bacteria
Description: partial 16S ribosomal RNA
Rfam family: Bacterial small subunit ribosomal RNA
Source: RNAcentral
GACGAACGCUGGCGGCGUGCUUAACACAUGCAAGUCGAACGGUGAACCUCUUCGUAGUGGCUCAGUCGCGAACGGGUGAGUAACACGUGGGCAACCUGCUCCCGGCUCUGGGAUAACUCCAAGAAAUUGGGGCUAAUACUGCAUGUUCACCGCUUCCCGCAUGGGUGGUGGUGAAAAGGGUUUCCGGCUGGGGAUGGGCCCGCGGCCUAUCUGCUUGUUUGUGGGGUAGUGGCCUACCAAGGCCACGACGGGUAGCCGGCAUGGGAGGGUUAACGGCCACAAGGGGACUGAGAGACGGACCAGAGGGGAACGGGAGGCAGCGGGGGGGAGUAUUGCGCAGUGGGCGGGAGUGUGAGGAAGAGACGCCGGGUGGGGGAAGACGGCCUUCGGGGUGUAAAGAGCAUUAAGCAGGGACGAAGCGGAAGUGACGGUACCUGAAGAAGAAGCACCGGCUAACUACGUG